CCUCCUACCUGUCUGUGAAGGUUAUCGUCAGCUUUUUGGAGCUCUGGGCAUCUGGUCUCCCUCUGACCUCUCGCAGUGCUUAUUGUCUUUGUCUCCGUUAUGGCAUCUUUACUGUUUUCUGGAGAUGCAUCUUGUUUCUGCCACUGGAAUUUGACCUGCUCAGAGUCUUGUGUUUUGCCAUCCUUGUAGUAUGAAGUGCCAUGAAGAAUGCAGGGUACACCCUGUAAUCAAAUAUUGGAUU
RNAcentral lists this long non-coding RNA (241 nucleotides) under Homo sapiens (human). RNAcentral's name for it is "HSALNT0152249". The record is from RNAcentral. Lineage: Eukaryota; Metazoa; Chordata; Mammalia; Primates; Hominidae.